CUUGGAACAAUACAGAGAAGAUUUAAGUUUGGAACAAUACAGAGAAGAUUAGCAUGGUCCCCGCAAGGGAUGACAUACAGAUUAAUGAAACAUUCCAUAUUUUU
Hippopotamus amphibius kiboko is the source of this 104-nucleotide small nuclear RNA. NCBI's taxonomy places the organism in Eukaryota, Metazoa, Chordata, Mammalia, Artiodactyla, Hippopotamidae. The record is from RefSeq and is a predicted model, not a curated record.